CCUACGGGAGGCAGCAGUGGGGAAUAUUGCACAAUGGGCGAAAGCCUGAUGCAGCAACGCCGCGUGAAGGAAGACGGUUUUCGGAUUGUAAACUUCUGUCAAUAGGGAAGAAAGAAAUGACGGUACCUAAAUCAGUAGCCCCGGCUAACUACGUGCCAGCAGCCGCGGUAAUACGUAGGGGGCAAGCGUUAUCCGGAAUGACUGCGUGUAAAGGGAGAGUAGGCGGCAAGGUAAGCGAUAUGUGAAAGCCUUAAGCUUAACUAAAGGAUUGCAUAACGAAAUAUCUAGCUAGAGUACAGGAGAGGAAAGUGGAAUUCCUAGUGUAGCGGUGAAAUGCGUAGAUAUUAGGAAGAACACCAGUGGCGAAGGCGGCUUUCUGGUCUGAAACUGACGCUGAGGCUCGAAAGCGUGGGGAGCGAACAGGAUUAGAUACCCGAGUAGUC
RNAcentral lists this ribosomal RNA (443 nucleotides) under uncultured bacterium. RNAcentral describes it as "partial 16S ribosomal RNA". It matches the Rfam family "Bacterial small subunit ribosomal RNA", at positions 338 to 795 of the family's 1533-position model. The record is from RNAcentral.